AGCGCCGAGCCACCGAAAAGCUCCAAUUGUUGAUCAACAACGGACGCGACUAAGCUCAAGCAAAUAGGAUUUCACGCGUUUUAGCAGCGGAGAAUAUCGCCGACCGACAGCUCACCGCGAAUUACCCGGCGUGAGGACAGUGCAGCUUCCGAUACAUUAUACCUUGUAUUUUCGCGCAUCUGAGACGGAAUAAUGGCGUGCGUACUUAUGACGGACAGAAGAACGAAGCGUGCAGAAAGUGCAACCACGACAUGCCUAUCGAUUAUCGAUGAACAAUCGCAAUUUUUGCUGGUUCUUACGGGUCGGUGCAACGUGAGACGGCUGAAACGAACGGAUAGACGAACGAACUUUGCACCGGCGAGUCGGCGACGACCGGCUGAAUGCGCCGACUGUCCUCCGGCCUCCAUUCCGGCGAGAGCAUCGGCAAUAUGAAUCGAGUUCGGCGACAAGCAGCAGCCGGGCCGCUCGGAGAGAUCCAACGACGAAGUGAAGCGACAGCUAGGGUUAGUUGUUACGUCGAUACGAAACGCCGACACAGACCAUCUUCUCGUGCAGCCAGUUCAAAAACUGAAAGGAACAGACCAAUGGUGUGUGAAACCCACAUAGGAAUCCACACGGAUCGUUACCUAGGAUCUGGAUUUUGCCCAAAAUCCCCGAGAGCAACGAUGGCUUCCCACUUGGUUUUUUCAACAGUUUGGCGAGCGAUUAUCGAUUUCGAAAAGACGCGAGACUCGAGUAACGCUCGUCGUCUUUUUUAUAUCGCGUAAAAUUUGUAAGGCUUUAAAAAGUGUCCAAGUUUUCAUCGGGAUCUCGCCGUGAGCUGUCAGAUCGUACGUCGAGUAACGUGUCCGAGUCGUUUCUACGUGAAAGCGGAAAUUCGAGACGCAUUGCGUAGAAUAUUUACGAGUUAGGGCGAAACACGGAGCAAAAGAUCCUCUACCGAAUAUUGCCCAACCGGCCCGCCGUGUGAAAGUCGCUGUACAUUCUUUCGAAACCCCCACGCACGCUCGCGUUUAUUUUUCGGAGGAGCGUGGAAUACACGCGUGCAUGUAUGUAUAUUAGGGGCCGCUACGCACUCACUCACGCACGCACGCACGCACGAUACGUCGACGGAAUCGCCGUUCUAUUAUUAGACCGCCGCGGCCCGUCUCGUUGCAUCCGACGGCGGAAUGAAUGGAGAAUGUAACCCUCUGAAUAUUAGGACGUCGUUCGCCGAACCUUCUCGAACGAAACAGUCUCUCGCUCGCCGGAAAGUGCGGAUCCGCACGACGAGAGAGACUUCCUUCCUUUCUCCUUGGAGAAUUUUUUGGAAAUAGAAUUUUCUCGCGGCCGAU
Long non-coding RNA from Dinoponera quadriceps, 1334 nucleotides. RefSeq lists it as uncharacterized. NCBI's taxonomy places the organism in Eukaryota, Metazoa, Arthropoda, Insecta, Hymenoptera, Formicidae. The transcript has 3 exons. The record is from RefSeq and is a predicted model, not a curated record.